This 250-nucleotide long non-coding RNA is filed under the name Helianthus annuus (common sunflower). RNAcentral's name for it is "sRNA HanXRQr2_Chr04g0146031". The record is from RNAcentral. Lineage: Eukaryota; Viridiplantae; Streptophyta; Magnoliopsida; Asterales; Asteraceae.
CCCUAGGGUGGCGGCGCACGGCGUCGGGAGGCAGAAAAAAAGAGAAGAGAGAGAGAGAGAGAAUGAAGCAGGAGGGAGAAAGGAAAUUCCGGUGACCGGAAUGGAGCGGCGGUGAAGUGCUAUGUGCUGGUUAUGUCGAUAAUGAUGAUGGUGACGGUGGCGGCGGUGGUGUUUUAUUUCCGACGAAGAAGACGAACCGGAAUCGGAAACUCAUGAAUCUGCUGCCGAAAAAAAAAACUAAUGGGAGAUA